ACGGGGGGACUCCUACGGGAGGCAGCAGUGGGGAAUAUUGGACAAUGGGGGCAACCCUGAUCCAGCGAUGCCGCGUGAGUGAUGAAGGCCCUAGGGUUGUAAAACUCUUUCGUCAGGGAAGAUAAUGACGGUACCUGAAGAAGAAGAUCCGGCUAACUCCGUGCCAGCAGCCGCGGUAAU
This 180-nucleotide ribosomal RNA is filed under the name uncultured bacterium. RNAcentral describes it as "partial 16S ribosomal RNA". It matches the Rfam family "Bacterial small subunit ribosomal RNA", at positions 326 to 524 of the family's 1533-position model. The record is from RNAcentral.